Dreissena polymorpha is the source of this 655-nucleotide long non-coding RNA. RefSeq lists it as uncharacterized. NCBI's taxonomy places the organism in Eukaryota, Metazoa, Mollusca, Bivalvia, Myida, Dreissenidae. The transcript has 4 exons. The record is from RefSeq and is a predicted model, not a curated record.
AUCUAUGUUAUCAGCUAUUAAUAUGUCUACAGUAGGGAUUAUCUGAACAUACUUGAUUUAACGAAAGCAUCAACUUAAGGAGAUGCACCGCGUGUGUCAAAAUAAGCGUGAACGCUUACACGCUGGAUUAUAAUUACACAUGCUCCAACAAGAUUAUUUUGGCAAUUAUCGCCUAAAGUAUUUUUUUAAAUUCUUUCCGUGCAGGUAUAUAAACGCCUUGUGUCUAGCCUUAUUAUCGUGUGCUCAGAUUCUACGAAGAAUCGACCAAAGGUAUAACCAUGUUAUCAGCCGUCUCAUUCCUGCUACUCGUGACGCUUUACGUAACGGUGUCUAGUCAGACGUAUAAGGGAUACCCUCCGCCAAAGCCAUAUCCAAAAGAUCCAUGUUACAAAGUGUAUUGCCCACCUAUCUACUGCCCUAAGGGGCAAUACACACCGCCUGGCGAGUGCUGCCCGCGUUGCAAAAAAGGUUAUGGGUAUCAAGAUCCAGACCCAUAUUUCCCAGGCGGAAAAUGAAUGUAUAAUUCGUGACAACAAUGCAGACAAGGGAAUGACAUGAACUAAUGACAGAAGAAAUGGAUCACAUAUAGAGCAAAUUGUUAUUGUACUGAAUUUGUUUGCUUGUGCAGCCUUAAAUAAAUAAACUUUAAUCAAAA